RNAcentral lists this ribosomal RNA (356 nucleotides) under uncultured soil bacterium. Its description in RNAcentral is "bacterial SSU rRNA". It matches the Rfam family "Bacterial small subunit ribosomal RNA", at positions 26 to 411 of the family's 1533-position model. The record is from RNAcentral.
AGAACGAACGCUGGCGGCAUGCCUAAUACAUGCAAGUCGAACGAAGGCUUCGGCCUUAGUGGCGCACGGGUGCGUAACGCGUGGGAAUCUGCCCCUUGGUUCGGAAUAACAGUUGGAAACGACUGCUAAUACCGGAUGAUGACGAAAGUCCAAAGAUUUAUCGCCAAGGGAUGAGCCCGCGUAGGAUUAGCUAGUUGGUGAGGUAAAGGCUCACCAAGGCGACGAUCCUUAGCUGGUCUGAGAGGAUGAUCAGCCACACUGGGACUGAGACACGGCCCAGACUCCUACGGGAGCAGCAGUAGGGAAUAUUGGACAAGUGGGACGAAAGCCUGAUCAGCAAUGCGCGUGAGUGAUGA